Molecule: ribosomal RNA, 482 nt
Filed under: uncultured Pseudomonadota bacterium
Lineage: Bacteria; Pseudomonadati; Pseudomonadota
Description: bacterial SSU rRNA
Rfam family: Bacterial small subunit ribosomal RNA
Source: RNAcentral
GUCGGGCGGCAGCGGGUCCUUCGGGAUGCCGGCGAGCGGCGAACGGGUGAGUAAUGUAUCGGAACGUACCCAUUAGUGGGGGAUAACUACGCGAAAGCGUGGCUAAUACCGCGUACGCCCCUUUGGCGACAUUGGGGGAAAGCAGGGGACCUUUCGGGGCCUUGCGCUAUUGGAGCGGCCGAUAUCGGAUUAGUUUGUUGGUGGGGUAAUGGCCUACCAAGGCGAUGAUCCGUAGCUGGUUUGAGAGGACGACCAGCCACACUGGGACUGAGACACGGCCCAGACUCCUACGGGAGGCAGCAGUGGGGAAUAUUGGACAAUGGGGGCAACCCUGAUCCAGCCAUGCCGCGUGUGUGAAGAAGGCCCUUGGGUUGUAAAGCACUUUUGUUGGGGAAGAAAAGUUUUCGGUGAAUAACUGGAGAUCCUGACGGUACCCAAAGAAUAAGCACCGGCUAACUUCGUGCCAGCAGCCGCGGUAAUAC